ACCUGGCUGGCUUAUUCAGCAGAGUGUGAAACUCUUGAUCUUGGGGUUGUAGGUUCGAGCCCCACGCUGGGUG
This 73-nucleotide transfer RNA is filed under the name Felis catus (domestic cat). It matches the Rfam family "tRNA". From Rfam's summary of the family: Transfer RNA (tRNA) molecules are approximately 80 nucleotides in length. Their secondary structure includes four short double-helical elements and three loops (D, anti-codon, and T loops). The record is from Rfam by way of RNAcentral. Lineage: Eukaryota; Metazoa; Chordata; Mammalia; Carnivora; Felidae.